UGAUUCAGGGAGGUAGUAACAAGAAAUAACAACCUAUGUACUUUUGUACUGUGGAUUGUAAUGAGUUCUAACCUAAAAAACUAAACGAGGAACAAUUGGAGGGCAAGUCUGGUGCCAGCAGCCGCGGUAAUUCCAGCUCCAAUAGCGUAUAUUAAAGUUGUUGCAGUUAAAAAGCUCGUAGUUGAAUUUCUAGGCAUCAUUAAAUUUAACAAUCGUUUGUUUAUUGGUGUUUAUCCGACAUUGAACUUAAAUUGGUAUUUGGUUAUCAUUUAAGCGAACUGUCAUUUUACUUUGAAAAAAUUAGAGUGUUUCAGGCAGGCAUUUGCCCGAAUAUCUUAGCAUGGAAUAAUGGAAUAGGACUUUGGUUCAUUUUAUUGGUUAUUGAAUCAGAGUAAUGAUUAAUAGGGACAGUUGGGGGCAUUAGUAUUUAAUUGUCAGAGGUGAAAUUCUUGGAUUUAUUAAAGACUAACUUAUGCGAAAGCAUUUGCCAAGGAUGUUUUCAUUAAUCAAGAACGAAAGUUAGGGGAUCAAAGACGAUCAGAUACCGUCCUAGUCUUAACUAUAAACUAUACCGACUCAGGAUUGGCCAUGUCUCAACUUGGUCAGCACUGUAUGAGAAAUUAAAGUCUUUGGGUUCUGGGGGGAGUAUGGUCGCAAGGCUGAAACUUAAAGGAAUUGACGGAAGGGCACCACCAGGAGUGGAGCCUG
This 708-nucleotide ribosomal RNA is filed under the name uncultured apostome ciliate. RNAcentral describes it as "bacterial SSU rRNA". It matches the Rfam family "Eukaryotic small subunit ribosomal RNA", at positions 452 to 1185 of the family's 1831-position model. The record is from RNAcentral. Lineage: Eukaryota; Ciliophora; Oligohymenophorea; Apostomatida.